CUGGGCUGGGCCGGGCCGGGCCGGGCUGGGCGGGCCCGCCCCCGGGCUAUUUAGUGCUCGGCACGGCCAGGCGCGCUCCGCCACCGGCGGGGCUGCACGGCACGGCUCGGCUCGGGACGGCUCAGCUCGGGACGGGACGGGACGGGACGGGAGCGGGCUGCCAGCGCCCUCGAGCGGCACUGGGGCCGAGGAGGGACAGCCCAGCCCUCGGGCAGAGCCGAGCUCUUCCGCCGGGUGCCGGGCAGGGCUGCUGCCGGCUCCGCGCCGGCCGGGCGGGACGGGGCGCGCACCCCUCGCCCUGCGCAGCCGAGGAACGCGGACGCCGGCUCCGAGGGCUGGCAGAAGAGCGGCAGCAGCGGGAGCGGCCGCGGCCGACACUAGACACUAACUCUGGUAAAAGGGGAACUCUACGAUUUUCCUUGAAAAAGAACAACAUUGGAUUCUUCACUGGGUACACUAAGAGUGAGAGAAAAGAGGACAUCUUGAAGGAUCUGAUCCUGAGAAGUCCUCCCUUCUUGAAGUUAAGUGACUUCCUCUGUAAAACAGGUCUGCUUGCUAUCUUUAGAAUAUCUCUAUCCAAGCUAGAGGAAUAA
This 593-nucleotide long non-coding RNA is filed under the name Anser brachyrhynchus (Pink-footed goose). RNAcentral's name for it is "lncRNA (ENSABRG00000009840.1)". Lineage: Eukaryota; Metazoa; Chordata; Aves; Anseriformes; Anatidae. The record is from RNAcentral.